CUGGAAGGACAUCUCCCCUUCCUAGUCCACUGCAUGGCCUGCAUUUCUGCCCCUUGCAACCCUACUCUGAUCCUGCUCCUUGCCCUGGAUUGGCAUGGAGUGGUCUCAUUCAGCACAUUCAUCUCCUUCCACCUCUUUUGCUAGGUCUUAUCUGCCAACUACACAUCCUACAAAUCUGAUUCUGUGCUCUUCUAUUUAGGCUCCUUCAGGCCUCCCCACUGCCCAGCAGAGAAAAAAAUCCAUUGAGAUGUAUAAACUCUCCAGCCACAUCUCAUGUCAUGUUCCUCUCCAAAUUAAUGCCAUCAUCAUACUAAGCUUCCUGAGCUCCGCCUCCUGUCAGAUCAGCGGCAGCAUUAGGCUCUCAUAGGAGCAUGAACCACACUGUGAACUGCGCAUGCGAGGGAUCUCGGUGGCUAAGAUUCUGAACCAUUCUACAGCGUAACACUGAUGCUGUAGAUUAAUGGCAGGCUCUUUAUGAGAAUCUAAUGCCUGGAAAUCUGUCACUGUCUCCUACCACCCCU
Molecule: long non-coding RNA, 521 nt
Filed under: Homo sapiens (human)
Lineage: Eukaryota; Metazoa; Chordata; Mammalia; Primates; Hominidae
Description: non-protein coding lnc-COLGALT2-2:1
Source: RNAcentral